CAGGCGCCCGCCAUCGCGCCCGGCUAAUUUUUUGUAUUUUUAGUAGAGAUGGGGUUUCACCGUGGUCUCCGUCUCCUGACCUCAUGAUCUGCCCGCCUUGGCCUCCCAAAGUGCUGGGAUUACAGGUGUGAGCCACCCCACCCGGACCCUUCCUUCUAAUAACGCUAUGGGUUUUAUUUAUAAGGUCUUCAUUCACUUUAUAAGAUUCGAGAGAACUUUGUUCCAAUCUUGGCUCUGCUGCUACUUUUAAUAGGAUGCUUCCUUUUCCUUCUGACAUGAGUGGAACCAGCCAUAGGCCCUCAUCAGAGGCAGAUGCUGGCACUUUGCUUCUCGUACAGCCUGCAGAAUGAGACAGAGUCUUGCUCUGCUGCUCAAUCUGGAGUGCAGUGUUAUGAUCAUAAUUCACUGCAGCCCCAAACUCCUGUGCUCAAGCUAUCCUCCCACCUCAGCUUCUUGAGUAGCUGGAACUACAGGCACAUGCCAAUAUGCUUGGCUAUUUUUUUAAUUUUUAUUUUUUAUAUAUAUGGGGUCUUAACUUUGUUGCCCAGGUUGUAAAUAUCUUUUCAUAAAGUUUUCUUCUUUGCAUGCAAACCAUUAGCCACACUGAAUUUUUCUAUUCCCUCUUGAGAUUACAAGUAGAAAGCAGACCUUCUAGUUUAUCCCUUAGUUCUUUUAACAUUCUUUCAUAUUUCCCAUUUUCUUUUAUCUCUAAACUAUGCCGUGAGUACUUGCUCCACAUCUGUCUUCCAAUUCUUUUAUAACCUUUGGCUGCUUUCUUACCUACAAAUUAAUUGUAAAUUGUAAAUUGUUG
RNAcentral lists this long non-coding RNA (811 nucleotides) under Homo sapiens (human). Its description in RNAcentral is "HSALNT0093270". The record is from RNAcentral. Lineage: Eukaryota; Metazoa; Chordata; Mammalia; Primates; Hominidae.